GUGGGGAAUCUUGCGCAAUGGGCGAAAGCCUGACGCAGCCAUGCCGCGUGAAUGAUGAAGGUCUUAGGAUUGUAAAAUUCUUUCACCGGGGACGAUAAUGACGGUACCCGGAGAAGAAGCCCCGGCUAACUUCGUGCCAGCAGCCGCGGUAAUACGAAGGGGGCUAGCGUUGCUCGGAAUUACUGGGCGUAAAGGGCGCGUAGGCGGACAGUUUAGUCAGAGGUGAAAGCCCAGGGUGCAACCUUGGAAUUGCCUUUGAUACUGGCUGUCUUGAGUUUGGGAGAGGUGAGUGGAACUCCGAGUGUAGAGGUGAAAUUCGUAGAUAUUCGGAAGAACACCAGUGGCGAAGGCGGCUCACUGGCUCGAUACUGACGCUGAGGUGCGAAAGCGUGGGGAGCAAACAGGAUUAGAUACCCGGGUAGUCC
RNAcentral lists this ribosomal RNA (425 nucleotides) under uncultured bacterium. RNAcentral describes it as "partial 16S ribosomal RNA". It matches the Rfam family "Bacterial small subunit ribosomal RNA", at positions 354 to 796 of the family's 1533-position model. The record is from RNAcentral.